Molecule: ribosomal RNA, 301 nt
Filed under: uncultured bacterium
Lineage: Bacteria
Description: partial 16S ribosomal RNA
Rfam family: Bacterial small subunit ribosomal RNA
Source: RNAcentral
CAGCCGCCACGGUAAUACGAAGGGUGCAAGCGUUAAUCGGAAUUACUGGGCGUAAAGCGUGCGCAGGCGGUUUGUUAAGACAGAUGUGAAAUCCCCGGGCUCAACCUGGGAACUGCAUUUGUGACUGGCAAGCUAGAGUGUGGCAGAGGGGGGUGGAAUUCCGCGUGUAGCAGUGAAAUGCGUAGAUAUGCGGAGGAACACCGAUGGCGAAGGCAGCCCCCUGGGCCAACACUGACGCUCAUGCACGAAAGCGUGGGGAGCAAACAGGGUUAGAUACCCCUGUAGUCCCUGUCUCUUAUAC